RNAcentral lists this ribosomal RNA (367 nucleotides) under uncultured bacterium. RNAcentral's name for it is "bacterial SSU rRNA". It matches the Rfam family "Bacterial small subunit ribosomal RNA", at positions 32 to 377 of the family's 1533-position model. The record is from RNAcentral.
AAUCAACGCUGGCGGCGUGCCUCAGACAUGCAAGUCGAACGCGAAAGGUUCCUUCGGGGACCGAGUAGAGUGGCGCACGGGUGAGUAACACGUAGGUAAUUUGCCUUUGGGUGGGGAAUAACUCAGGGAAACUUGAGCUAAUACCGCAUAAUGCAGCGGCUCGACAUCGAGACAGUUGUUAAAGCGGGGGAUUCGCAAGAACCUCGCGCCUAAAGAGAAGCCUGCGGCAGAUAGCUAGUUGGUAAGGUAAUGGCUUACCAAGGCGACGAUCUGUAACCGGUCUGAGAGGGCGGUCGGUCACACUGACACUGACAUACGGGUCAGACUCCUACGGGAGGCAGCAGUCGGGAAUUUUGGGCAAUGGGCG